CCUACGGGAGGCAGCAGUGGGGAAUUUUGGACAAUGGGCGCAAGCCUGAUCCAGCAAUGCCGCGUGCAGGAUGAAGGCCUUCGGGUUGUAAACUGCUUUUGUACGGAACGAAACGGCGAGCUCUAAUAAAGUUCGCUAAUGACGGUACCGUAAGAAUAAGCACCGGCUAACUACGUGCCAGCAGCCGCGGUAAUACGUAGGGUGCAAGCGUUAAUCGGAAUUACUGGGCGUAAAGCGUGCGCAGGCGGUGAUGUAAGACAGAUGUGAAAUCCCCGGGCUCAACCUGGGACCUGCAUUUGUGACUGCAUCGCUAGAGUACGGUAGAGGGGGAUGGAAUUCCGCGUGUAGCAGUGAAAUGCGUAGAUAUGCGGAGGAACACCGAUGGCGAAGGCAAUCCCCUGGACCUGUACUGACGCUCAUGCACGAAAGCGUGGGGAGCAAACAGGAUUAGAUACCCUGGUAGUCCACGCCCUAAACGAUGUCAACUGGUUGUUGGGUCUUCACUGACUCAGUAACGAAGCUAACGCGUGAAGUUGACCGCCUGGGGAGUACGGCCGCAAGGUUGAAACUUAAAUGAAUUGACGG
This 585-nucleotide ribosomal RNA is filed under the name uncultured bacterium. RNAcentral describes it as "bacterial SSU rRNA". It matches the Rfam family "Bacterial small subunit ribosomal RNA", at positions 338 to 916 of the family's 1533-position model. The record is from RNAcentral.